UAUCUCCUUUUCUUCUCUGCUCUUUGGGAUCCAAGAGUUGCGACGGUGAUUCAAAUGGUUUGUCUGCAAAGAGUUAUACAUAAUAUUAUGAAGUUAUAUGAGACGGUCAAACAUUAAUUCUGUGUUUAAUGGUUUGACGAAGAUUUGAAUCAUAUUCCACAUACCAGGAGUUGACAUUGAUCAUACAGUGCUCGAUGGAGACAACUAUAUGUGUGUGCUAUGUUGAGAAGGUGACCCACUUAUAAUUCCAAUGACAAGCGAUGAUUGCAGGUUUAAAAUCUUUUCUUUUGAGUUGUCUGCAAGUAGCAUAAAAGGGGUUUGCUUAAAUUCAGAGAGGAGAUCUAUUAUGCGAUCUGUAACAUAAACUUGAUUCAAACAAAUGAAUUAGCCUAGGUGCAUCGAUUAAAUCAGUAAGGAAAACCAUGGCAUGCUGUUCUAUCAUGGAAAGAAAUUUUG
Molecule: long non-coding RNA, 456 nt
Filed under: Setaria italica (foxtail millet)
Lineage: Eukaryota; Viridiplantae; Streptophyta; Magnoliopsida; Poales; Poaceae
Description: long non-coding RNA (SITA_LNC002978)
Source: RNAcentral